Molecule: ribosomal RNA, 415 nt
Filed under: uncultured crenarchaeote
Lineage: Archaea; Thermoproteati; Thermoproteota
Description: bacterial SSU rRNA
Rfam family: Archaeal small subunit ribosomal RNA
Source: RNAcentral
GCGCAGCAGUCGCGAAAACUCCACAAUGCGCGAAAGCGCGAUGGGGCUAUCCCGAGUGCCGUCCGCUGAGGAUGGCUUUUCUCCAGUGUAAGGAGCUGGAGGAAUAAGGAGAGGGCGAGACUGGUGUCAGCCGCCGCGGUAAUACCAGCUCUCCGAGUGGUAGGGAUGUUUAUUGGGCCUAAAGCGUCCGUAGCCGGCUCAUCAAGUCCUCCGUUAAAUCCAGCGAUUCAAUCGUUGGGCUGCGGGGGAUACUGUUGGGCUAGGGGACGGGAGAGGCCGACGGUAUUCCCGGAGUAGGGGUGAAAUCUUAUAAUCCUUGUAGGACCACCAGUGGCGAAGGCGUCAGACUGGAACGCGCCUGACGGUGAGGGACGAAAGCCAGGGGAGCGAACCGGAUUAGAUACCCGGGUAGUCC